GUAAACGUGAUACUUAUUCACUGCAAUAGACUGCUGUGAACCAUAUUCCAGCAGUAACCUUUGAAAUCCAUCACUUGGCUGCACACAAGUGUGGUCUAAAAGGGGCUUAUAUGCUGUGUUUUUUCAAAACCUCUCAGCAGGCACUGGCUCAGCCCUGGCUGUGCUGCUGUUACCCCUUAGGGCCAGUAUCUGCUGAAGCAUCCAUGCUUCAGAACAGCCUUGGAUUCCUCACUGUUAUAUUCAGUCCAAGGUAAAUUAAGGGAAUGUGAUUAUCAGGAUUUUGAAAGACCCAGUAGUCACCAGCUAAAAUGUACCACAAAAAGAACCCAGCUACGACAACAAGGGAAGUCCCUGAAAAAGGCUGGAAGCAAAAUGACCAUAAUUGAAAUCUGAAAGCAGCAACUUCAUAGAGAAGUAAACGAAGAGGCGGCUCUUUGUAAAUGAUGAUCUAAAAAGUGUUCUGGGUUGUAAGACCUCAUUUCAAAUGUAUUCAUUAAAUAAUAU
Corapipo altera (White-ruffed manakin) is the source of this 504-nucleotide long non-coding RNA. RefSeq lists it as uncharacterized. Lineage: Eukaryota; Metazoa; Chordata; Aves; Passeriformes; Pipridae. The record is from RefSeq and is a predicted model, not a curated record. The transcript has 3 exons.